RNAcentral lists this long non-coding RNA (212 nucleotides) under Lathyrus oleraceus (garden pea). RNAcentral's name for it is "Pisum sativum (pea) long non-coding RNA (PSAT_LNC020639)". Lineage: Eukaryota; Viridiplantae; Streptophyta; Magnoliopsida; Fabales; Fabaceae. The record is from RNAcentral.
UGGAAUUGGGUGGAAGGGAAUCUAACCAAGACAGGGCUUUGUCUCUGAGGGAAAAAGGGAAUAAUCUUAAACGAAUUGCCUCAGGAGAAGCUCCAUUGGUUUUAAAAGUGUCUGCUAAUUGAAGAAAUAUUUUUAAAUAUUGGUUUGGGUUCCCAGUAGCGAGACCUGCGAAUUGUCUCUGUUGCACUAGUUGCAACAGGGAUGGUUUAACU